AACGCACGAGACCUGCGGACCUGCGGAGGGAUCAUUAACAAGAAGCGUAGCCCGCCGGUUGCGAAAGCAUCCCGGUCGGGUCCUAUGUCUCACACCCUCCGCGUACCCAUACCUUUUGUUGCUUCCCGUCGCGUCCACCGCGGCGAGGCGGGGAGGUCCCCUUUAACUCCGGUUUUCCAUGCCGUCGGUCUGAAGUGGCCCGGUCCACGUAAAACAUUUUAACGCUCAAAACUUUUAACA
Molecule: unclassified non-coding RNA, 240 nt
Filed under: soil metagenome
Description: partial contains 5.8S ribosomal RNA, internal transcribed spacer 2, and large subunit ribosomal RNA
Source: RNAcentral